RNAcentral lists this long non-coding RNA (7890 nucleotides) under Elaeis guineensis (African oil palm). RNAcentral's name for it is "long non-coding RNA (EGUI_LNC012521)". The record is from RNAcentral. Lineage: Eukaryota; Viridiplantae; Streptophyta; Magnoliopsida; Arecales; Arecaceae.
GCAUGUCCAAACCUACUUUUACAUAGUUUUAUCUCUCAUAAUUGCAAGGAAAAUUCUAUUUCAACAAAGAAGAAGCCUUUAAAUUAAAUUACUUUUUUUUUUUUUGCAGUGGGUUCUUCUAUCUAUUUUAAUUGGUAAGUUAUACAUGCACGCACACACACAUCUUUUGAGAUUCUAAAAGGACAUUCUAUGGUGUAAUUAACAACUUAUGACUUCUGAAUGCAAAUUAAUGGUAACACAAAAAGCAUAUCUGUCAUGCAGCUGGACAGGAAAGGUUCAGAACUUUAACCAGUUCAUAUUACAGAGGAGCACAAGGGAUCAUCAUGGGUAUGCAUGUCUGCGUUACCCCUUUUUAUACUGUAGAAUUUGAAUUCGAUAUUUUUCAUUCUAUUAACUUUUUUGUUUAUAUCGUGCAUUGAUGAUGAAACACAUUUGGAGUUUAGUUUUUCAUACACAGCUGGCUGUUUUGAUAUCUAGCAUGCUGAAACUGCUCAAAUAUCUCAUUUUCUGGUCAGCAAUCUUGGUUUAUCUUUCCUAAUCCUUCAAUUCAAUUAACCAACCUCAAUAGCUUGGUGAUCUAUGUACACAAUUCUGGCCGAUAGUGUAAGAACUGAGAAGUACAUCUAUUGUUAUCUUUGGCACAUAAAGAUUGAUGAGAAUUUGGAUAUGGCAGCAAGAUCAAGCCUACAACAAACUCCAAAAUCUAUUUAGAGGAUCACUAUUGUGGAAUACAAUGAUCUCUAAAAUGCAAAUAAAUAAAUAUAUAAUCCAUAAAAAAGAAUUAUCUGUUAUGUAAUUAUACAUGCUAAAUGCCAAGAAUUUUGCAUUCAUAAGCAAUGAAUCGGCAAGUUAUCAAGGAUAACAUGUAAUAUUAUGUUGAUAAAAUAAUUAAAAUGGACUACAAUGAAAGAUAUGCUAAGGAUCACCUUAGGAUACAAAUUAAGGAUCAGCUGUUCAGAUCCUGAUCUCAGGUGUCAGGUGAAAUCCAUUUAGUGCUAUGAAGCAUGGAUAUAAAUACUCUGGUUCGGUCAACCUUCAGCAAAAUUAGGAUAGAAUAUGGCUAUGAUACAACAAAGGGUAAAUAAAUAUGAACACAUGUGCAAAAAAAGCAUCUGCAGUGCAUAAUAGGUUAACAUGAUAACAUUGUCUAUACUCUAUAAUAUAACAUUAAUAUUUCAAGUACUAACUAAAAGGUCCAUAUGAUCAAAGAAAACCUCUUUCUGUCAUACCUAUCAAGGAAGUGUAUGGAUUAAAAAAAGAUACUUAAAAUAAGGACACAUAAGCUUGCUUUAUCUGGUGCUUAUUAUUAUCCAAUACAUAUCGAAUAUGGCUAUGGAACAGAGACCUGUCAAUGGGUCAGGUCAGAAUUUGACUUGGCCCGAGACCUAACCCAACCUGACUGACCCAAGAAUGCCCCCCAAUAUCUUGAUAUUGUAACAACGAGAAGAAAGACAAAUAGAGAGGGAGAAAGCUAUGAGUGAGAGUUUGAGGUGGGACUAUGAGAUUGUCUUACAGAUCAGAUGGUGGAGAUUUGGCACAUGUACAAUUGCUCUUAUCUAGCCUCCAAUGAGGACUUCAUCGUGAAGUCACUUGACAAGGCCCUCUCCAACCCACUCAAUUGUGAGCUAGCCCACAAGAGGCCAUGACCCACCAGCUCGCCACUGUCAACCUCCUUGAUGCCUCCCUCUUUGCAUGGCCAUCUCUUCCAGAUCUCUGCCCUUUUCUGUUCUCCUCCAUAGAAGCAGCAGCAUGUGCCCUUGAGAGAGGGAGGAGAUGAUGCUGGCGGUGGCUGUUGGUAGUGGCUCUGGAGAGAAAGCAGAGGUUGAGAGUGGCCGAUGGGCAGCAAUGUUGGGGAGGGAGGGAGGGUGGAUAUAGUCGGCAAAGGAGAGGUAGAAAUGAGAGAGGUUCUCUCUCAUGCUCGAGAGAGAAAACAGGGAAAAGAAUAAGAGACUGGGGAGAGAGGAGAAAAGAUCUCAGCCUUUACUUUUGGUUAAAUUCGGCUAAUUGGGUCUAAAGCUCUGAUUGGUCAGACCCAAUUGGUUGACAGGUCUAAUGGAAUUAGAAGUAUUCAUGUAUCUGGAUUAAGUACAUAAAAAAACUACCUAUGUAUUAUAUUAUAUUUGGAAUGCAGUAUUUUGCUGGUUUUGAUAUGUAAUCAUAAUCUAAUCUAGAUAAGUGAAGGCACUGUGAAUUAGGGAAAGAGGUUACUGUAUGAGGAUUCUGUAGCAAGAAUUUGUUCUUUUCCCCAAAUUUACAUAUAUGUUUUCUGCAUGCAAUUUGCAGUUGCUAAGGGUCAUCAUCAUCAAGGAAGCAGGGUAAUAGUUGCCAGACUAUCACUUUUUGGUCGGGAAUUGAUGAUGAUGAUGUUCUUGCAGUAAUGCUCAUACAAACAAUUGCAUGGAGAUAAAUGUUUUACCUUAAUAGUUCACUAACUGAAUUUCUUAUUUAAUGUUGGCUAGCUUGAAAAUUAUGUAAUGUUCUAAUGUUGUACAGCUUUAGGUAGUAUGGAUAAUUGCAGCAAUUGAAGAGAUAGAUACAUGUUAGGAAAAGAAUCUCCUACCCUAGUUCAUUUGUCAUGACAACAUGUUAGACCUGGGCUUUCAACAUCUCAAUCUUUAGUAUGUUACUUAUGAAGCAAUAUAGUAUUUUUGAAAGUCAUGAAAGAUUUUCAUUAAUUACUAUUACAUAUAGAUACCCAUCUGCUGUAAUCUGUGAACUGAAUUUAUAAUGAAAUACAUUCUUCAACCCCUAGAAACCAUAUAUCCAAAGACUCAACAUCUCUUCUACUGCUGAUGUAGUUUAAGUUUGAAUUAGGUAGGUGUAUAUUUAUGUAUCUUAAUUUUUUUUAGUUUUAUUUUUGGUUAACUUGCUCUUUUAAUUAAGUAUGGAGUGUCUUAUAUUGAAGUCUUCUGGGAGACUCUUAGGAUUUUCUGUUUUCUAGUGGUGUUCUCGUGGUGGGAUUUUUUAUUCCCAUUUCGAGUAGGAAUAUGACAAAGACUCUACUUUGAUCUAGGUUGGACAAGAAUAGUUUUAUACUUAUCUGGAUUUGACAUUGAAGGAUUUUGAUAGCCUUAAAUAUUGGAUGGAGUUGCAAAUUUUGCUAUCCUUGGAAAGUCCCUUCUUUUGGCUGGAAAAAUAGGGUAACCAUCUAUAACUGUUCUUGUAUACUAGGGAGGCAGAUUCUGUAGAGUCAUGAUGCCUUUAGAUAUAAAAGGAGGGAGGUGGUGCAGAAUCAGUUUUUGGUUAUAGAUAUUGAACAGAUUGAAGUUCGUUUCCUUUCUUUUGAGCAUUGCAGGUCUUCUAUUUUCUUUACUCUACUGAUAUUUCCUUCUUAUCUAUAUUCUUCUCUCACACAUCCUCUCCUUGGUCCUUUUUUCAUUCUCCAAUCUCAGUUGCUGAUUUGGCUAUCCUGAAGAAUAAAAGUCAGAUCAAAUCAUAUAGAAAUCAUCUCUACAAAUUUAAAUUAGUUCACACAUUUCGAUUCUAGCUGGACAGCUGCCAACCAAUCCGUAAAAUCUGUUUGGUGGCUCUACAUUUAAAAAGUCAGAUCUGGAGUGGACCUUGCAAGUUGCAACUGUUUAGUUGUCUCAGUUACCACCUAAAUAUUUCACUGAAAAAGCCAAAUGGCAAUUAUUAUUUGUCAUCCACAACAAGCAAUCUAGAUCUAGAAUUUAACUCAACAGCAAACUUCAAGUCAUCCAACAUGGCCUUGAUUUCUGUCAUAGCAGCAUUAUGUUCUUAUUUAUCGCUGCAAACAUAAGAAAGGGUAGUUGUAAUCAUGUCCACAUCCACUGAUGCCAAAUCUUGUUUGCUGUAAAGUAAUGAUGUAAUUUGUUUAACUGCACUGUAAACUUGUUGAAUUGUGUUGCAUAGGCUGCUGAUCUAGUUUCAAGCUUAUGCCAGCUGCAUCCACCUCUUCUGUGCGAAGAUUUAUUGUCAUCAAGCUAUGAACACUUGCACGUUAUGUCUGUGUGUAUUAUUUAUUUGAGACUUAUGACAAGAUUCAUGGAACAUGUUGAGCUUCUCAUCAAUAUGGUGAGGGAUCGGAUUGAUUAUUGGAACAAUAUUGAUAUCAACCGGUUCUUAUUGAUCAUCUUGUUUUGAAAUGGAUCACUGUAUAUGAACUAGACCUGUUCAAAUGCUAGAUGGCACGUCUGAUCUGCUCAAGUCCAUAGAGUUCCGAAUUGGCCUGGGCUGGGCCUAAAAUUUAAGCCCAUUCCUUAAACAGGAUGGACUUAGGUUUAUAUUUGCCUGGCUUGAGCCAAAACUUGUAUAAUAUAUCAUAUAUAUCAUAUAAUAUGAAAUAUAAUAUAAAAUAUUUUCCUCAUCUUCUCCGCCCUCUCUACUCCUGUCUCCUCAACUCCCUCUCCCACCACACCCUUAAACCCCUCCCCCACCUCUCCCCAUGCUCCCCUUCCUGCCUGCAUCCCCACCACCCUCUCGAGGCCCUACGCCUCCCCCCCAUCCUUCACCUUACCCUACCAAAGUCGAUCUCCUUCACUAGACUCUUGGAUUAGUUUCAGUCCUCUUGGAUCCUUACCACAUUUGUUAGUAGAAUUAGCUCUCUCCGCCCCCAUGGUGGCCACAAUUUCCUUUGCCAUGAUGUGUGCAUUCACAUUGUAACCCUAUUUGGUAUCCAUCUGUCGCUAGGAGGGCAAUUACUAGGAUGUGGCCAUCUACCAGGAUGGGUUGGAAGAUGGCAGGGUCUAGCAGGCGACCUCGCUAAUGAAUCCAAGGGUUUCAACAUCGAGGGCGAGGUGGGCAAUGAGGAGCGGGGCAUCCUUGCCGUACAAGCCAAUGAAGGUGGUGUCAGCAAGGUUGAUGAGGGAGACAAGAAACUUGUUUACCUUGUCAAUGAGGACCAUCUCGACCACCUCCAUGAUGAGGGCGUUUGUGAUGUGGAGGCCGUUGCGGAACUGGGGCUGGUGGUCAAGGCAGAGGAGUCAUGAGUUCAUCUUUCAAUCCAUGCACCUUGGGAUCUCAAUGAAUAGGAAGAGGAAUGUAAGCCUUUUCGAUGUGGUGGACAAGUUUUGAUGUUCCAUGUUGACGUUGGAGAUCUGAUUGGGAUAGGAGAGGAAUUGGCCAUUAGGAAGCCCAGGGCUUGGUUUGAAGCCUGAAGUCUGAGUAAGUAGCGGGCUCGUGCCUGGAAAGUUGGACCAAAGGCUGGGCCAUGCCAGGUCUCAGCCUGGCUAAUUUUAGUUGUUCCUUGGGCUGAGCCUGGCCUAUCCUGCCCAUUGAAUAGGUCUAAUAUGUACUUGGAAAGGAUGUUACUAGAUUCAAAAUGUGCUUGGGAGUUGUCCUUUUAUAGGAAGAGGUUGUGGUGGGGCAAAGGUUUCAAGUGUUGUUUAUUGAGCUAGUAUUCAUCAUUGCUAAAUCUACCAAAUCGCAUUAUCCUAACAACUUGUAGUGCUAUCAUACAUUAAUAAGGAAUGAAUGCAAUCCUAAUAGUUGUUAGCCUAGAGAACUAAUAACAUAAAGUUUUUUCUUCCAACUCGAUUGUUUUGAAUGGCAUUUAAAGGUGGAUAAGUAUGUUCAACUAAUAAAAAUGCAACUUUGACUCAUCGAAUGAGCAGAUAUCCCAAUUAUAAUAGUAGAUUAACAGCGCACUUAAAAAAAUGCUAUUGACAAUUUGAAUCUAUAAAAUGAUGUAAAAGAUACUGUUUGGAGCUCCAUCCUCUUCAAAUGUAGCUUGGUGAAGUUAUGCUGAUUUGACGUCAUGUUGUAAAUGCGGAUAAACAUAACUGCUCAUGAGCAUGUAUGAGAACCAUAUGAACACGUAAGCAAUCUUAAUGUUAUUUAUCUUUCUUCUUUGAAUGAGAGGUUUCUAUACUUAUUAUUCUUGAGAAAAUGGCUAUAAAUUUUUGUUUAAGAUGACACAACAAUCCAAGAAAUAUAUGUGAUAUAUACUUUAACACCCUUUCUUUCAUAGAAUCAUAAAACUAUGCAUGGAAUCGGAGUAUGCUGAACCAUACUGAAUCGAAAGGUUUAAGAUGAAUUGAACCAAAUUGCCAGGAAUUGAGAUGGUUCAGUUAAUCGAAAUAGGUCAUCUUACUAUAAUAGAACUCUUUACCCUCCAAUACCUCUCCUCCCCCAACUGUGUUCAACUUUGAUCUCUCCCCCCCUCCCUCCUCUUCAAACCUUUAGCCGAUGCUGUCACUCUCAAUUGAUGCCAACAUCAAUGCCAUCACCCUCAAUCAAUGACGGUGCCAACGCCAUCUCCCUUGAUCAAUGCGGACGUAGGUGCCAUUCCCCUUCGGGACAUUUGAACAGGUAUGUCUUUCUCCCCCUUCCUCUUCGUCUUCCUCUCCUCCUCUCCCUUUUCUCCCCUUCAUCUUCUCUCCCCCAACACCCACACCCCCCCUCCUGUUGGUUCUCCUCCUAGGGUUGGGGUGGGUUUCUCCCUCUCUCCCCUCUUCUCUUGUUCUUUCAUCUCUGUACACUAUAUCAUGGUACGAUAUGUAAUGGUAUUGUACCAAACUGGUUGCUGGUUGGUAUGAUGCUGGUACCAAUUUGGCAAACCUUGCAUGAAAAAAUUGAAAGAAGAAUGAAUUGUAAAUUUAUAUAUUUUUGUAAGCGAAAAUGAUCAAAUGGUGUGUUUAUGAAUCUUUCACCUCUUUUUUUUUGUUUUCAAUAACUAACCUAAUAAGCGUCGAUUUCCUGAGAGAGUAAGACCCAGCAUCAGAUAAAUAUCUUAUCUCUUACAUCUUCUUAGAAACUUAUUAUAGCAAACCAUCAACUGAACAAAAAUGAGAUCAGCACUAUAUAAGAUUCACACAUUCAAAUUGACAAGAGACUGCAAAACUGAAACUAUAAACUUGUCCAUCGUAAAUAGCUUCAAAUAUUACUUGGAUAAAGAAACUUAAGAUUGAAGGGAAAGAGUUGUAGAUCUAUUCAGCAGCACUAGUGACUCUUAGCUAGUGAUAUCUAGGCAUUACAAGAAAAUUUGGUUCUCAAAUUAUUCAGAUUGCCUUGUAGGUGGGACAAUAUUAUCUGAUCUUUAUAUCUGUCUCCGUCCCUUAAUCUUCUAAUAAACUCAGAUGACAAAUGAAGUUAAAGGGGCAAAGAAGGAACUGAGAACCACUUGGGGCUUGUUUGAAUAUUCCUAUAGCUAUAGGCAAGGUUUGUUGUACCAUACCAAAUAGAGUGGUAUGGGAUAUACCAUACCAUACUAGUAUGGUACCGGUAUCUGGUAAGAGGGGUGUAUCGAUAUUUGGUAUGCCAAAUCGGCCCUAUACCAAUACAGUAACAGGUUGGUAUUGGUAUGGGCUUGGUAUCAAGACGGUGAACCUUGCCUAUAAGAUUGGGUUAAAACUUCUGUAGAAAUCAGGCUUAUUGGCCCAUCAAGCUUCCAUUUUCUAAGAACAUGUCCAAACUUAGCUUAGAUUUUAGUCUUUAGGCUGCAGGCAGAAAAAACCUAUAAAAGUCUUUUUCUCCCAUAGGAUUUGGGCUGGGUGGAGUUUACUUGAUACAGUGUCAUGCAUAAAUGGAUGGCCUAAUCCAUGAAUCCUAUAAGAUUUUCCACCCAAUCCUGUAGGAUAGCUAAACAGGUCCUUAGGAGGAAAGAAUAGGAUCAGAAAUAGAGGACAAGAAAGCUGAAAGAGAGACAAAGGUACAUUGAACAAGUGGAAAGGAAGACAAUAUAACUGGCUGCUUUUAUUCUUCCAUCUCUUUUAUCCUAUAGCUCAGAAGUAAGGGAGGCAUGAGGAGAAAAGGACUGGAGUAGGGAUCUAUAUUUGCAAUCCUUUCUGGCCCUAGCUCAAUGUAUUCUACUCAUGCAAGACUGAAUUCUGGCUGGUCCAUAGUCUGAAUAUGGGUUGUGACCACCAUUUUCAUUGUGUUCAAUUCCCAGACAUUGAAUUAAACAACCACUUCUUGAAGACAAGAAUCUAG